Molecule: non-coding RNA, 89 nt
Filed under: bovine gut metagenome
Also listed under: 1 other name
Description: S10-Clostridia ribosomal protein leader
Rfam family: S10-Clostridia ribosomal protein leader
Source: RNAcentral
UGAUAGCUAUGAAGCGUGAGGUUGCUGCCGCAACAAAAUAUAUAUAAGAAACGGCAGGUUUUCCGCGGAGCGAAUGUUGAUGGCGGGUA